This 743-nucleotide ribosomal RNA is filed under the name uncultured bacterium. RNAcentral's name for it is "bacterial SSU rRNA". It matches the Rfam family "Bacterial small subunit ribosomal RNA", at positions 94 to 823 of the family's 1533-position model. The record is from RNAcentral.
AGCGGCGGAUGGGUGAGUAACACGUGGGGAACCUGCCCCUAAGUCUGGGAUACCAUUUGGAAACAGGUGCUAAUACCGGAUAAUAAAGCAGAUCGCAUGAUCAGCUUUUGAAAGGCGGCGUAAGCUGUCGCUAAGGGAUGGCCCCGCGGUGCAUUAGCUAGUUGGUAAGGUAACGGCUUACCAAGGCGACGAUGCAUAGCCGAGUUGAGAGACUGAUCGGCCACAUUGGGACUGAGACACGGCCCAAACUCCUACGGGAGGCAGCAGUAGGGAAUCUUCCACAAUGGACGCAAGUCUGAUGGAGCAACGCCGCGUGAGUGAAGAAGGUUUUCGGAUCGUAAAGCUCUGUUGUUGGUGAAGAAGGAUAGAGGUAGUAACUGGCCUUUAUUUGACGGUAAUCAACCAGAAAGUCACGGCUAACUACGUGCCAGCAGCCGCGGUAAUACGUAGGUGGCAAGCGUUGUCCGGAUUUAUUGGGCGUAAAGCGAGCGCAGGCGGAAAAAUAAGUCUAAUGUGAAAGCCCUCGGCUUAACCGAGGAACUGCAUCGGAAACUGUCUUUCUUGAGUGCAGAAGAGGAGAGUGGAACUCCAUGUGUAGCGGUGGAAUGCGUAGAUAUAUGGAAGAACACCAGUGGCGAAGGCGGCUCUCUGGUCUGCAACUGACGCUGAGGCUCGAAAGCAUGGGUAGCGAACAGGAUUAGAUACCCUGGUAGUCCAUGCCGUAAACGAUGAGUGCUAAGUGU